CCUACGGGGGGCUGCAGUCGAGAAUCUUUCGCAAUGGGCGAAAGCCUGACGAAGCGACGCCGUGUGAGCGAAGAAGGCCCUUGGGUUGUAAAGCUCUUUCGCUAGGGAACAAGAGAAGAUAGCAAAUAACUAUCUAAUUUGAGGGUACCUGGUAAAGAAGCACCGGCUAACUCCGUGCCAGCAGCUGCGGUAAUACGGAGGGUGCAAGCAUUAAUCGGAAUUAUUGGGCGUAAAGGGCGCGUAGGCCGAUUUGUAAGUCAGAUGUGAAAUACCGAGGCUCAACCUCGGUGCCGCAUUUGAAACUACAAAUCUAGAGGGUUGACGGAGAAAACGGAAUUCCACGUGUAGCGGUGAAAUGCGUGGAUAUGUGGAAGAACACCGGUGGCGAAAGCGGUUUUCUAGUUAAUACCUGACGCUGAGGCGCGAGAGCAAGGGGAGCAAACAGGAUUAGAUACCCUUGUAGUC
Molecule: ribosomal RNA, 465 nt
Filed under: uncultured Simkania sp.
Lineage: Bacteria; Pseudomonadati; Chlamydiota; Chlamydiia; Parachlamydiales; Simkaniaceae
Description: bacterial SSU rRNA
Rfam family: Bacterial small subunit ribosomal RNA
Source: RNAcentral